This 1212-nucleotide ribosomal RNA is filed under the name Proteleia sollasi. RNAcentral describes it as "SSU rRNA". It matches the Rfam family "Eukaryotic small subunit ribosomal RNA", at positions 34 to 1247 of the family's 1831-position model. Lineage: Eukaryota; Metazoa; Porifera; Demospongiae; Polymastiida; Polymastiidae. The record is from RNAcentral.
GUCUCAAAGACUAAGCCAUGCAUGUCUAAGUAUAAACGCUUCUAUACUGUGAAACUGCGAAUGGCUCAUUAAAUCAGUUAUAGUUUAUUUGAUGGUUCCUUACUACUUGGAUAACCGUAGUAAUUCUAGAGCUAAUACAUGCAGCAAGUCCCGACUUCUGGAAGGGAUGUAUUUAUUAGAUCCAAAACCAGCGCGAGUCCUCCGGGGCUCGGUUGCUCGGUGAUUCAUGAUAACUGCUCGAACCGUAUGGCCUUCGUGCCGACGGUGCUUCAUUCAAAUUUCUGCCCUAUCAACUUUCGAUGGUACGGUAGUGGCCUACCAUGGUUGCAACGGGUGACGGAGAAUUAGGGUUCGAUUCCGGAGAGGGAGCCUGAGAAACGGCUACCACAUCCAAGGAAGGCAGCAGGCGCGCAAAUUACCCAAUCCCGACUCGGGGAGGUAGUGACAAUAAAUAACAAUGCCGGGCUAUCGUAGUCUGGCAAUUGGAAUGAGAACAAUCUAAACCCCUUAACGAGGAACAAUUGGAGGGCAAGUCUGGUGCCAGCAGCCGCGGUAAUUCCAGCUCCAAUAGCGUAUAUUAAAGUUGUUGCAGUUAAAAAGCUCGUAGUUGGAUUUCGGGGCGGCUCGGCUGGUCCGUCGCAGGACGAGUACUGGUCGGCCGCCCUUCCUCUCGAAAGCCCCGACUGCUCUUUAUUGUAGUGGUCGGGGAGUUCGGGACGUUUACUUUGAAAAAAUUAGAGUGUUCAAGGCAGGCCGUCGCCUGAAUACAUUAGCAUGGAAUAAUGGAAGAGGACCUCGGUCCUAUUUUGUUGGUUUCCAGGGCCGAAGUAAUGAUUAAGAGGGACAGUUGGGGGCAUUCGUAUUUAAUUGUCAGAGGUGAAAUUCUCGGAUUUAUGAAAGACGAACAACUGCGAAAGCAUUUGCCAAGGAUGUUUUCAUUAAUCAAGAACGAAAGUUAGGGGUUCGAAGACGAUCAGAUACCGUCGUAGUCCUAACCAUAAACUAUGCCGACUAGGGAUCGGCGGAUGUUAGCGUUUGACUCCGUCGGCACCUUAUGAGAAAUCAAAGUCUUUGGGUUCCGGGGGGAGUAUGGUCGCAAGGCUGAAACUUAAAGGAAUUGACGGAAGGGCACCACCAGGAGUGGAGCCUGCGGCUUAAUUUGACUCAACACGGGGAAACUCACCAGGUCCAGACAUAGUAAGGAUUGACAGA